This is a long non-coding RNA of Triticum dicoccoides, 438 nucleotides long. RefSeq lists it as uncharacterized. The transcript has 3 exons. NCBI's taxonomy places the organism in Eukaryota, Viridiplantae, Streptophyta, Magnoliopsida, Poales, Poaceae. The record is from RefSeq and is a predicted model, not a curated record.
AGAUCCAUGGUGACGGUGGCUGCAGUGGCCCGAUGGAAGCGGCGGCCAUCCCUAGCCGUUAUCGCGUGCUUCUGCUACUCACGUUGACCAUGGAUCUGCAGCAGGGGCCUCCCUCCUCCGUUUCCCAGAGCCCGCAGCAGCUGAUUCGCCAUCCGGAGAUUCGGAGCAGCAAGCGCCGGACGAGGAGAGGGCGAGGACGGUGACCUGCUGGAGGCCCGAGCACGACCAGUCAACGGUGACGAUGCCCCACACAAGAUCAGUAGGAGCUCUCUGCCUCUCCAAUUCCAUGGACGGCGACGACCGGGACCCCACGCUCAAACCCGACGAGCUGGAACGGCGAGGUCAUGCGAGCCAACCAUCAUGAUUUGCCAUAGAACAAUAAGGUCUAUCUCAUGGACACCCAGAUUUUGUAUGCAAUUUUCUCAACACCUAGAUUGG